Molecule: long non-coding RNA, 1498 nt
Organism: Triticum dicoccoides
Lineage: Eukaryota; Viridiplantae; Streptophyta; Magnoliopsida; Poales; Poaceae
Exons: 3
Source: RefSeq, a predicted model, not a curated record
GCUGCACAUGAACUCGUCCCCAACCUCCAUCCCACGACCACCCGUCCCCUGCGCUGGCCGCCGGCGCAAUCACCCCCUCCCCCACGCGUCGCCGCAACUCCACGCCCAACCUCGCGCUCCUCCGUCGCUGCCCCACCCCGCGCCGCCUCCUACCUCGCCCACCCCACAGGCCGCCGCCGCAGCCCCACCGCGCAUCACCUCCUACCUCGCGCACCAUGAGCCGCCGUCACCGCCCCACCCCGCGCGCUGCCGCCGCCGCCACCCUACCCUGCCCCGCCACCACGGGAUCCCCCAUGCGCGUCGGCCGCCACCCGACGCAAAUCAGUCGCCGCCCCAGCGAUUCUCCACUUCCCCGUGCUAUCCCUCGAUGCCGGUCGGGCGCCUCCGACAGGAUGCGUCGCCAUGGUCCAGUCACCGGGGGUUGCUCUCCCUGACUCAUAGCUGAAGGAGACCGGCAGCUUCCUCGAUGGAGCACUGCAGAAGGCCAUCGAGCCUACAACCACAACUAGGACGAGCCCCUCAAUUUGCUAGUUUCAUUUUUAUUGCAAUCGCAAACUCUGUUUGCCCCUUCCUUGAUCCAAUCUUUUGUUCUUGCUACUCCACAUCGCAUCCACAUGCCGACGCGCCGCCCCCAACCCAUGAACCUUCACCUGCUGGUUGACCUCGCAAAGCCCACCUCCACCUUCCGGGGAUCUGGCUCGCAGGGUGCACGCAAUCUCGUCCUGGCCAGCUGCUGCUGGGUGAAGCUCCACCAGCCUGAAGAUGCAAGAGCAAGAAUAGAGGGAGAUACAGAGCAUGUGUAGUAUAUGGACUGCUCGCACGCGCUGCCACGGACUGCUCGCACGCGCUGCCACGAACUGCUCCACCCAGCGCCUCCACACCCCGGGCGUCGCCUGCGUGCCACACCGUAGCCACUUCUCCCACACGUUGAUGAAGAGGUCUGUCUCUCUUUCCUCCCCUGCUCACCGUCCUGUGCGGCAGUGGACGCGACUACUUGAGGGAACAAAGCCCGGCUUCCGAACACCGGCAGUCUCCCUGCACCCUACAAAAAAUUAAAUAAAUCGCAAGUUCAGAAUCAAGAAACCAUGAAGUUCAAAGACAACAAAGUACUACCCGAUGUUGUUCGCCAACGAUCUUUAGUUUCUUUAGCAGUUCGUACACAUUUUGCCAAAGCUAGUAUGUUCGGAACCGUAAGUUGAUAGCUGACCGACAGGGACAACAAUGUUGAUGGCGAUUGAAGAAGGAUCCCAAAAUAUUAUUAUUGGGACCGAAGGCCAAGUUUUAUGCACGGUGUGAGAGGAUUUCAGGAAUUGUUCUAAAGCGGUCGAUGGCUUUCGAGAGAUGCGAUCAUAUCUCACAAGUUUCUAGGGGGUUCAAGAUCAUUUAUAUAAGAAGGAAAUGUCAAAGGUUCAGACGGCAGCACACUUAAAAAUACUGGUGAAAAAUCUGAACAUGUGUAGUGCAAUUAUGGGGAAAAGCUUGAAUUUUUAUCGCUUAA